AAUAGAUACCCAGGUAGUCCUAGCCGUAAACGAUACUCGCUAGGUGUCCGGCCACGGUGCGACCGUUGUCGGUGCCGUAGGGAAGGCCGUGAAGCGAGCCACCUGGGAAGUACGGCCGCAAGGCUGAAACUUAAAGGAAUUGGCGGGGGAGCACCACAACGGGUGGAGCUUGCGGUUUAAUUGGAUUCAACGCCGGAAAUCUUACCGGGACCGACAGCAACAUGAAGGCCAGGCUGAAGACUUUGCCGGAUUAGCUGAGAGGUGGUGCAUGGCCGUCGUCAGUUCGUACUGUGAAGCAUCCUGUUAAGUCAGGCAACGAGCGAGACCCACGCCCACAGUUGCCAGCGUACUCUCUGGAGUGACGGGUACACUGUGGGGACCGCCGCUGCUAAAGCGGAGGAAGGAAUGGGCAACGGUAGGUCAGUAUGCCCCGAAUAUCCCGGGCUACACGCGAGCUACAAUGGUUGGUACAAUGGGUAUCUACCCCGAAAGGGGAUGGAAAUCUCCUAAAGCCAAUCUUAGUUCGGAUUGAGGGCUGCAACUCGCCCUC
RNAcentral lists this ribosomal RNA (550 nucleotides) under uncultured bacterium. Its description in RNAcentral is "bacterial SSU rRNA". It matches the Rfam family "Archaeal small subunit ribosomal RNA", at positions 728 to 1275 of the family's 1478-position model. The record is from RNAcentral.